This 78-nucleotide transfer RNA is filed under the name Lactobacillus crispatus 214-1. RNAcentral describes it as "tRNA-Lys". It matches the Rfam family "tRNA". Rfam says of the family: Transfer RNA (tRNA) molecules are approximately 80 nucleotides in length. The record is from RNAcentral. Lineage: Bacteria; Bacillati; Bacillota; Bacilli; Lactobacillales; Lactobacillaceae.
UGGGUGGCUAGCUCAGCUGGCAGAGCAACGGACUCUUAAUCCGUGGGUCCAGGGUUCGAUCCCCUGGCCACCCAUAAU